This 67-nucleotide small nucleolar RNA is filed under the name Eutrema salsugineum. RNAcentral's name for it is "Small nucleolar RNA Z105". It matches the Rfam family "Small nucleolar RNA Z105". Rfam says of the family: This family consists of several snoRNA Z105 sequences which are members of the C/D class of snoRNA which contain the C (UGAUGA) and D (CUGA) box motifs. This family seems to be found exclusively in plants. The record is from Rfam by way of RNAcentral. Lineage: Eukaryota; Viridiplantae; Streptophyta; Magnoliopsida; Brassicales; Brassicaceae.
UAGGCAUGAUGAGGAUUGUUUAUUGUCAUCUGAUUCAUGACGAAUUAAUACCUCCUACUCAUUCUGA